RNAcentral lists this ribosomal RNA (475 nucleotides) under uncultured bacterium. Its description in RNAcentral is "SSU rRNA". It matches the Rfam family "Bacterial small subunit ribosomal RNA", at positions 26 to 518 of the family's 1533-position model. The record is from RNAcentral.
AGGACGAACGCUUGCGACGUGCCUAAGAAAUGCAAGUCGAACGGAAUUACCUUCGGGUAGUUUAGUGGCGAACGGUCGCGUAACACGUAGGCAACCUGCCCUGAAGCGGGGGACAACAACUCGAAAGAGUUGCUAAUACCGCAUGUGUAUCGGAAUGGCAUCAUUCAGGAUACAAAGGACUUCGGUUCACUUCAGGAUGGGCCUGCGGCCUAUCAGCUAGUUGGUAAGGUAACGGCUUACCAAGGCUUCGACGGGUAGCUGGUCUGAGAGGACGAUCAGCCGGAUUGGGACUGAGAUACGGCCCAGACUCCUACGGGGGGCAGCAAUUAGGAAUCUUGCGCAAUGGGCGAAAGCCUGACGCAGCGACGUCGCGUGAAGGAUGAAAUCUUUCGGGAUGUAAACUUCUUUUACCAGGGAAGAAACAAAUGACGGUACCUGGUGAAUAAGCCCCGGCUAACUACGCGCCAGCAGCCGC